AUUUUCCUCUCACUCCAUUUUAUUUGCCUCCAAAAAUCCUAAACACUAAACUAAAAUUUUAAACACAACCCCUAAAUUCUAACAAAAAAUUUAAACGCUAAUAUUUUAAUAUCAAAUAUCAAAUUUAACUUCAAUCUUAAAUAUAAACUCAAAAAUUAAUAUUUUUAGAAAUUAACCUCAAAUCUUAAAUCAAUACCCCAAACCUUUAACUUUCAAACUCUUUACUCAAACCUUAUUCUAAACUCCAAACUUGAAAACUAGUUUUAAAAAUUAAUCAUAUACCCUAAACUAUAACUAAAAAUAUUUAAAUUCUAAUAUUUUUAUUAUUUUUUUAAAAUAAUCAUAUACCAUAAGCUCUAAUUAGAAAUCUUUUUGUCUAUGAAUAUUAUAUAUAUAUCAUAUCCUAAAUUAAUUAUAUAUCCCAAACUCUAACUAGAAAUCUUAAAAUUCUAAUCUUUUUAUUAUUUUAAAACAUUUUAGUUUCAAAUUUUAAAUCUAAUACCAUAAACCUAAACUCUAAAUGUAUAUCAUAACACAAAUCAUAUACCCUAAAUCAUAUCACAUAUACUCUAAACUCAAAAUUUUAAACUCUGAUUUUUAAAUACAAAAUAAAUAUGAUCAGUAAUUAGAAUAUAAUUUAGUUUUCAUAUAAAUAAAAUUAGUUAAACAUUAAAUUUUAAAUUCCUAAAACAACUAUAAUAAAAAAAUUGUUUUUGAUUGAUUAAUUUUGGACAUUGAUUGGUUUUAAUCGAAAGGUCACAAGUCUAUUUUAGUUACUCCGCUCACUUUCUCUUUAUUUGUCAGUCUAUCAAAAUUAGAAUUACAAUUUGUGGUCAUUGAUUGUUUUUGAUCUUGUGGCCUAAAAUCAAUCUUCUUCAUCUAUCCAUUCAAACAUCUCUCUCACGAUUGUGAUUAACCUAAAAUCACAAAAUCAUCAGAUCAACGCACACAGAUUGGCUCGAAUCAGCCUCUCCCGAUUCAAACUGUAUCAGUUCAAUCCUCUCUCUGUCUAUCUCUCUCAGCCAUGAUGAAAGCUUCAUCGACAACACUACUCGAGUCAGAUUUGAGCUACAAACAGAGAUGGCGGAGGAGGAGAAGAGGCUUCUAUGGUUAAGUUCCGUAAUCUGCUGAUUCUGUGUUUGUUUGUGUCAUUUCAAUCUCAGUUACAGGUUAGUUGUUUCGUUUCUCUGUUCUGAACGAUGCAAUAACAUUGAUUCAUCAGGAACAGGGGAUUAGUAAGUUAAAGUUGUAAGCUUUGACUUGAUUCUUAAUAAACUUAAUGGAUUUUCAUGAGUUGUCUCACCUUAUGAUCACCAAUCUAUCUACAUUCUUGGGUUUAUAUUGUUUGUUUACUGCUGUUUUCAGUUACUUGGAGCCUCUUGCAGUUGCUCUAGAUAAAGAGAAGUGGAGCAUGUGCAUUUACUCAAUGUGAAACAGAGUUUGAUGGAGAUUGUUGAGUUCGAUAUGGCUUCUCCUUUCUUCUUUCUCUCUCGCAUGAUUGGUUCUCUUCAUGUUUUUACUAAUCUCUCAGACGGUUAUGAAUCAAGCUCUGAUCAAGAAAGCUACUCUGAGACAAGUUCAGGUAAACUAUCAAAGGGAGAAGAACACAAGGCAUAGGAGCUCGUGAAAAUUUAAAUGGUGAAGCUCAUUAUUGAGGAUGAUGGUCCGUAUGAGCUAAUCUGAGUUUUGAUGUUGAAGAAGAUGAGAAGCUUGGUUGGAGAAGAUGACAUGGGAGCAGAGAUUAGAGUUUGAGAUUGAAUGGGAGUAGAGAUUAGAGUUUGAGAUUGAAUGUUAACAUAUGCAACUCUUGAGAAGUUGAAUGUAGAGUUAGCCAUAAAAAAAUGUACUUAGAAAUAUUGUCAUACUAGUUAUCUCAAAUCCUUGUAUGUUUUGGAUUUUUAAUGAAAAACAUAUGGUAUUUUAUUAUUUAUUUGUGUUU
Long non-coding RNA from Brassica napus (rape), 1939 nucleotides. RefSeq lists it as uncharacterized. Lineage: Eukaryota; Viridiplantae; Streptophyta; Magnoliopsida; Brassicales; Brassicaceae. The transcript is spliced from 2 exons. The record is from RefSeq and is a predicted model, not a curated record.